ACGGAAGGCAGCAGUAGGGAAUAUUGCACAAUGGGGGAAACCCUGAUGCAGCAACGCCACGUGUGGGAAGAAGCAUUUCGGUGUGUAAACCACUGUCGUGAAGGAAUAAGGCUUAUUUUCGGAUAAGUUGAAUGUACUUUGAAAGGAAGCACCGGCAAACUUCGUGCCAGCAGCCGCGGUUAAUACGAGGGGCGCAAGCGUUGUUCGGAAUCACUGGGCGUAAAGGGAGCGCAGGCGGAGAUGCAAGCAGUCGGUACAAUACCGGGGCCCAACCCCGGACCUGCAGACUGGACUGUUUCUCUUGGAUAGCUCAGGGGCUGGCGGAAUUCCUGGUGUAGCGGUGGAAUGCGUAGAGAUCAGGAAGAACACCGAUGACGAAGGCGGCCAGCUGGGGGCUUAUCGACGCUCAUGCUCGAAAGUGCGGGUAGCAAACAGGAUUAGAUACCCUGGUA
This 452-nucleotide ribosomal RNA is filed under the name uncultured Fibrobacter sp. RNAcentral describes it as "partial 16S ribosomal RNA". It matches the Rfam family "Bacterial small subunit ribosomal RNA", at positions 341 to 792 of the family's 1533-position model. Lineage: Bacteria; Pseudomonadati; Fibrobacterota; Fibrobacteria; Fibrobacterales; Fibrobacteraceae. The record is from RNAcentral.